This is a long non-coding RNA of Gambusia affinis (western mosquitofish), 580 nucleotides long. RefSeq lists it as uncharacterized. The record is from RefSeq and is a predicted model, not a curated record. The transcript has 2 exons. Lineage: Eukaryota; Metazoa; Chordata; Actinopteri; Cyprinodontiformes; Poeciliidae.
ACUGAUGAAUGAGAGGUGUCUUUGGCUUUCGGGACUGGAGAGUAGCUUUAAUAUGUCAUCUGAGAGAAGGCCGGGGAGGUUCUGCUGGAGCAGGGUCGGAAGAAAUGCGACGGAUGGUGUGUGGCAGGGAGAGACCAUUGGGCAUGGGAAAGAGUGAUGACCAUGGAGGACAUGAAUCUUCUGCCUUGGGAGCUGCUCACAGUGAUGAAACAGGAGACUCUGCAUCACUGUCACUCUGGAUUUCCAAAGCAGGAAUUUAUACCACAGCCCACCGGUCAAAUGUCACUUACAGGCAGAUCAAUUACACCGUGUGAGUGAGGAAUGGGAAUAGAAAAGAAAUGUCGACAAGGCAUGAGAAGAGAUCAGAGUGAGAUUUGUUGCUGUGACUAAUCAUUCAUUCCAGCAGAGCCGCCUCAGUCUUUUAUGGCCCUCCUCAGUGUGUGUUUCACACAUUACCAGAAGCUCACGUCCUGGUUCCCUUGGCCUGCAGCUGUUUGUUUUGACAUCGACUGCUUCUGAGCUAAAAGGGCAUCUUUAGGCCACAACCAGUGGCCAGUGUGAUUAAAGUUUAAACAACUCA